AGAGUUUGAUCCUGGCUCAGGACGAACGCUGGCGGCGUGCCUAACACAUGCAAGUCGAGCGGAGACAGUGAGUAGCUUGCUACGAACUGUUUUAGCGGCGGACGGGUGAGUAACGCGUGAGCAACCUUUCCCAGACAGGGGAAUAACACACCGAAAGGUGUACUAAUACCGCAUAAGACCACGGGAUCACAUGGUUCUGAGGUAAAAGAAUUAUCGGUUUGGGGUGGGCUCGCGUCCGAUUAGGUAGUUGGUGAGGUAACGGCCCACCAAGCCGACGAUCGGUAGCCGACCUGAGAGGGUGAUCGGCCACAUUGGGACUGAGACACGGCCCAAACUCCUACGGGAGGCAGCAGUGGGGAAUAUUGGGCAAUGGAGGAAACUCUGACCCAGCAACGCCGCGUGGAGGAAGAAGGUUUUCGGAUCGUAAACUCCUGUCCUUGGAGACGAGUAGAAGACGGUAUCCAAGGAGGAAGCCCCGGCUAACUACGUGCCAGCAGCCGCGGUAAUACGUAGGGGGCAAGCGUUGUCCGGAAUAAUUGGGCGUAAAGGGCGCGUAGGCGGCUCGGUAAGUCUGGAGUGAAAGUCCUGCUUUUAAGGUGGGAAUUGCUUUGGAUACUGUCGGGCUUGAGUGCAGGAGAGGUUAGUGGAAUUCCCAGUGUAGCGGUGAAAUGCGUAGAGAUUGGGAGGAACACCAGUGGCGAAGGCGACUAACUGGACUGUAACUGACGCUGAGGCGCGAAAGUGUGGGGAGCAAACAGGAUUAGAUACCCUGGUAGUCCACACUGUAAACGAUGAAUGCUAGGUGUAGGGGGUAUCGACCCCUUCUGUGCCGCAGUCAACACAAUAAGCAUUCCGCCUGGGGAGUACGGCCGCAAGGUUGAAACUCAAAGGAAUUGACGGGGGCCCGCACAAGCAGCGGAGCAUGUGGUUUAAUUCGACGCAACGCGAAGAACCUUACCAGGUCUUGACAUCCACUUAAACUUACAGAGAUGUAAGGUGUGCUUGCACAAAGUGAGACAGGUGGUGCAUGGUUGUCGUCAGCUCGUGUCGUGAGAUGUUGGGUUAAGUCCCGCAACGAGCGCAACCCUUAUCUUCAGUUACUAACGCGUAAAGGUGAGGACUCUGAAGAGACUGCCGGGGACAACUCGGAGGAAGGUGGGGACGACGUCAAAUCAUCAUGCCCCUUAUGACCUGGGCUACACACAUACUACAAUGACGUUUAACAAAGAGAAGCAAGACCGCGAGGUGGAGCAAAACUCAAAAACAACGUCUCAGUUCAGAUUGCAGGCUGCAACUCGCCUGCAUGAAGUCGGAAUUGCUAGUAAUCGCGGAUCAGCAUGCCGCGGUGAAUACGUUCCCGGGCCUUGUACACACCGCCCGUCACACCAUGAGAGCCGGGGGGACCCGAAGUCGGUAGUCUAACCGCAAGGAGGACGCCGCCGAAGGUAAAACUGGUGAUUGGGGUGAAGUCGUAACAAGGUA
RNAcentral lists this ribosomal RNA (1482 nucleotides) under metagenome. RNAcentral's name for it is "bacterial SSU rRNA". It matches the Rfam family "Bacterial small subunit ribosomal RNA". The record is from RNAcentral.